UACGGAAGGGGCUAGCGUUGUUCGGAAUUACUGGGCGUAAAGAGAGAGUAGGCGGCUUACCAAGUUCGGGGUGAAAUCCCGGAGCUCAACUCCGGAACUGCCUUCAAAACUGGUAGGCUCGAGUCCGGAAGAGGGGCGUGGAAUUCCGAGUGUAGAGGUGAACUUCGUAGAUAUUGGGAAGAACACCGGUGGCGAAGGCGGCGCCCGGGUCCGGUACUGACGAUGAGGCGCGAAAGCGUGGGGAGCAAACAGG
This 253-nucleotide ribosomal RNA is filed under the name uncultured bacterium. RNAcentral's name for it is "partial 16S ribosomal RNA". It matches the Rfam family "Bacterial small subunit ribosomal RNA", at positions 524 to 776 of the family's 1533-position model. The record is from RNAcentral.